CACUAAGGCACGAAAGCGUGGGAGCGAACGGGAUUAGAUACCCCGGUAGUCCACGCCGUAAACGAUGGAUGCUAGCUGUUAUCAGUAUCGACCCUGGUAGUAGCGAAGCUAACGCGUUAAGCAUCCCGCCUGUGGAGUACGAGCGCAAGCUUAAAACAUAAAGGAAUUGACGGGGACCCGCACAAGCGGUGGAGCGUGUUGUUUAAUUCGAUACUAAGCGAAGAACCUUACCAAGGUUUGACAUCCUGCCAAGCUUUCCGAAAGGAAAGUGUGCCUUCGGGCCGCAGUGACAGGUGCUGCAUGGCCGUCGUCAGCUCGUGUCGUGAGAUGUUAGGUUAAGUCCUUCAACGAGCGCAACCCUUUUGUCCAGUUGGAUUUCUCUGGACAGACUGCCCUGGUAACAGGGAGGAAGGAGGGGAUGAUGUCAGGUCAGUAUUGCCCUUACACCUUGGGCUACAAACACGCUACAGUGGCCGGUACAGAGGGCAGCCAACCCGCGAGGGGGAGCAAAUCCCAUCAAAGCCGGUCUCAGUUCGGAUUGCAGGCUGAAACUCGCCUGCAUGAAGCUGGAAUCGCUAGUAACGGUAGGUCAGCACACUACCGUGAAUACGUUCCCGGGUCUUGUACACACCGCCCGUCAAGUCAUGAAAGUCGCCAAUACCCGACGUCCUAGCUAGUCUAGGCCUAAGGUAGGGGAGAUGAUUGGGACUAAGUCGUAACAAGGUAACCAAGGG
RNAcentral lists this ribosomal RNA (734 nucleotides) under uncultured bacterium. RNAcentral's name for it is "bacterial SSU rRNA". It matches the Rfam family "Bacterial small subunit ribosomal RNA", at positions 744 to 1506 of the family's 1533-position model. The record is from RNAcentral.